Molecule: long non-coding RNA, 1782 nt
Organism: Hemicordylus capensis (graceful crag lizard)
Lineage: Eukaryota; Metazoa; Chordata; Lepidosauria; Squamata; Cordylidae
Exons: 3
Source: RefSeq, a predicted model, not a curated record
AUCUGCUGCGGAAGGGAACUCGAGCAGCCGAGAAGAGUUCACACCUCCUGCCGGCACUGACGCAGCCGGCAACUCCCAACUGCAAGAGAGGGGGAUGGACGCCGCAACUGAAACUAGCUUCAGCAGCUACGCUCUUCAAGGCAGAGCAAGACCCAAACGCAUCAUCGAAACACUUCCAUGCGCGCUGAAACAGAGGACUGAAACUCUGCUUUUCUCACAGGAAAGGAACAUCAAGAGAGCCCCGUCUACCGUUAACUGCGUCCCCCCCCCCGACAUGGUUUGGCCUGGUCCCCGCUCCAGGGUUCCGAAAGCCGGGUUACUUACGUCACAGCUAACGUUAUUUCACAGGGCGUGGGAAGGGGUGGCGACGUGAGUCAGCCUACCCCUUCGGAGCGGGUGGCUGGGUCGGAAAACGACAAAUUUGGCUCAUUGCUGAGCUAGAGAUUCAUCAUCCUCGUGUUUUAAAGCUUCUGCUCUGCAUUUUUGUCCUUUCCUCUAAUUUAUGCCUCAUCAUCCCACAUUUUCUGGGAAAAUGCGACCUUAAUAAGGCAAGUUCUGGAAAAGCUUCCGAUCAGCUGAGAAACAGAUCAGCGGCUGAUCUAGCUCAACAUCCUAUUCACACAGUGACUGACCUGACGGAGAGACCACAAUCAGGCCAGGCCUCAGGCAGCCACUCUCUCACUGCGUAUGCCCUGCAACAAGAGAGAUACUUGUCUCGUCUGCAACAAGAGAUAUACUGUCUCUGGACAUGGAGGUUCUAAUUAUCCAAUAGCCAUUGACAAACCCCAAUAGCUCCCCAAUGGGAGGAGACAAAGAGAAUAGAGACACGCGGGCUUGAAAGCAAAGAGUUGCUUUGAAGAAUAAUUGGCACAGAAAGUGAAAAGCGGGCUGUUGGCGCCCAGCAGACUUGCUAAGGAAAUGGGAUGGGAGUUUAGGACGGAAAGAGAGCCAUUUUCUACCUGAUCCUGAUGGGGUCCUUCACUCCAGUUGGCUCGAGCAUGUGGCAAUGGGGUGCAGGAAUGCGCAGAGAUGGGUGCGAGAGGGUGAUACAAGAGAGCGGUCCCCUUUUGGGAGAGAGACAAACCUUUCUGUUUGAUGGAACUGGGGUAUGUGAUGGACGUUUGAAGAGCAGAAGGUUGAAAGGCUAUUUUUUUCAACCCCACACUUUCUUCACCAGCGGGUCGCCAUCAACUCCUAUACAGCAACAGGACCUCAGGCAACGUUCAAACCGGGAAGGAUAUGUAGAAGAAAUGCCAAAAGAGAAGUAGUGACUGGAGGCAAGGGUGGCAGCAGCAGGAGUCUGUGAAGGAGGAAGAUGCGAUCUUUGAAGUGGAGAAAACUCUGAAAGGGAGUGACUACCCAGAGCCUUUCCAGACAGGGCUUUCAGCUCUCGGCAUAUCGGAUGAGCAAAGCCAUUUUGAAUGAAAAUCACAGCAUUAGGGAAGCAGCUCCUCUCCUCUCUUCUCUGAUUUUUCUUUCGUGUAUGUUCUCACUGUGCUUUAUAGAAUUUAAAAAAAAACUAUUUUGAAAAACCAGCAACCUAGACACUCCAUGAAAAGCAACUCAGUUUAAUGUCACAAGUGUCAGGCAAAAACCUUAGCAAGCAGACUAAUAUUCUACAAAAAAAUUUGCUUGAGCAUACACAGAGGUUUUAAUUGUAGGGUUUUGUAACUUUCAAAGAACAAAACAUAGUUUGUUGCUUAUCUCAAAACUGGUUUUUCCACUAUUUGCAUCUGCAGAAGGCAUGUAGUCCAAGUUGUCAGGACUCUGUGUAUUUUUAUU